Molecule: ribosomal RNA, 1013 nt
Filed under: uncultured bacterium
Lineage: Bacteria
Description: bacterial SSU rRNA
Rfam family: Bacterial small subunit ribosomal RNA
Source: RNAcentral
GGCGGCAUGGCUAAAACAUGCAAGUCGAACGAUGAAAGCACCUUCGGGUGUGCAUGAAGUGGCGAAAGGGCGAGGAAUACGUUCCUACGUACCCCAAGGUCAGGGAUAGCCCCGGGAAACUGGGAGUAAUACCUGAUGAUAUCUCCGGAUUAAAGGCUUCGGCCACCUUGGGAGCGGGGAACGCCCUAUCAGGUUGUUGGUGAGGUAACGGCUCACCAAGCCUUAGACGGGUAGCGGGUGUGAGAGCAUGACCCGCCGCAUCGGGACUGAGACACUGCCCGGACUCCUACGGGAGGCUGCAGCAACGAAUAUUCCGCAAUGCGCGAAAGCGUGACGGAGCAAUGCCGCGUGCGGGAUGAAGCGCUUCGCAGUGUAAACCACUGUCAGAGGCUAGAAACAAUGACCAAACCCAAAGGAAGGGCCGGCUAACCUCGUGCCAGCAGCCGCGGUAAGACGAAGGGCCCGAGCGUUAAUCGGAAUCACUGGGCUUAAAGCGUACGUAGGCGGACGUGAAGGUGCCUUGUGAAAUCCCUCGGCUCAACCGAGGAACUGCAAGGCAAACCACAAGUCUUGAGACAGGUAGAGGUCGUCGGAACGAUAGGUGGAGCGGUGAAAUGCGUAGAUAUCUAUCGGAACGCCAACGGAGAAGACAGACAACUGGGCCUGUUCUGACGCUGAGGCACGAAAGCGUGGGGAGCGAACGGGAUUAGAUACCCCGGUAGUCCACGCCGUAAACGAUGCGCACUAGGUUGGGGAAGCUCUGACGCGUUCCCGGCCGAAGCAAAAGUGUUAAGUGCGCCGCCUGGGGAGUACGGUCGCAAGGCUAAAACUCAAGGAAUUGACGGGGGCUCACACAAGCGGUGGAGCAUGUGGCUUAAUUCGAAGCAACGCGAAGAACCUUUCCUGGGUUUGACAUGUAUGGAUUAGCCCUCCGAAAGGUGGGUGACACCCUCGGGUGGAACAUACACAGGUGCUGCAUGGCUGUCGUCAGCUCGUGCUGUGAAGUGUCGGGU